This 996-nucleotide ribosomal RNA is filed under the name Staphylococcus aureus. RNAcentral describes it as "partial 23S ribosomal RNA". It matches the Rfam family "Bacterial large subunit ribosomal RNA", at positions 536 to 1537 of the family's 2925-position model. Lineage: Bacteria; Bacillati; Bacillota; Bacilli; Caryophanales; Staphylococcaceae. The record is from RNAcentral.
GAGUGAAAUAGAACCUGAAACCGUGUGCUUACAAGUAGUCAGAGCCCGUUAAUGGGUGAUGGCGUGCCUUUUGUAGAAUGAACCGGCGAGUUACGAUUUGAUGCAAGGUUAAGCAGUAAAUGUGGAGCCGUAGCGAAAGCGAGUCUGAAUAGGGCGUUUAGUAUUUGGUCGUAGACCCGAAACCAGGUGAUCUACCCUUGGUCAGGUUGAAGUUCAGGUAACACUGAAUGGAGGACCGAACCGACUUACGUUGAAAAGUGAGCGGAUGAACUGAGGGUAGCGGAGAAAUUCCAAUCGAACCUGGAGAUAGCUGGUUCUCUCCGAAAUAGCUUUAGGGCUAGCCUCAAGUGAUGAUUAUUGGAGGUAGAGCACUGUUUGGACGAGGGGCCCCUCUCGGGUUACCGAAUUCAGACAAACUCCGAAUGCCAAUUAAUUUAACUUGGGAGUCAGAACAUGGGUGAUAAGGUCCGUGUUCGAAAGGGAAACAGCCCAGACCACCAGCUAAGGUCCCAAAAUAUAUGUUAAGUGGAAAAGGAUGUGGCGUUGCCCAGACAACUAGGAUGUUGGCUUAGAAGCAGCCAUCAUUUAAAGAGUGCGUAAUAGCUCACUAGUCGAGUGACACUGCGCCGAAAAUGUACCGGGGCUAAACAUAUUACCGAAGCUGUGGAUUGUCCUUUGGACAAUGGUAGGAGAGCGUUCUAAGGGCGUUGAAGCAUGAUCGUAAGGACAUGUGGAGCGCUUAGAAGUGAGAAUGCCGGUGUGAGUAGCGAAAGACGGGUGAGAAUCCCGUCCACCGAUUGACUAAGGUUUCCAGAGGAAGGCUCGUCCGCUCUGGGUUAGUCGGGUCCUAAGCUGAGGCCGACAGGCGUAGGCGAUGGAUAACAGGUUGAUAUUCCUGUACCACCUAUAAUCGUUUUAAUCGAUGGGGGGACGCAGUAGGAUAGGCGAAGCGUGCGAUUGGAUUGCACGUCUAAGCAGUAAGGCUGAGUAUUAGGC